RNAcentral lists this long non-coding RNA (287 nucleotides) under Vitis vinifera (wine grape). Its description in RNAcentral is "long non-coding RNA (VVIN_LNC004805)". The record is from RNAcentral. Lineage: Eukaryota; Viridiplantae; Streptophyta; Magnoliopsida; Vitales; Vitaceae.
UCUGAAACCUUUGCAGCAAAUUGACCAGUGGAGGCAUCAUCAACUGUUGAUAAGGCGUCACAAUGGUCUUCAUGAACCUCCAGUGAGUUAUCCUGUUUUUGUUUUAAAUCUGAUGAGGUUGGCAUUAUUUUUUCCUUGGUACAAUAACUUUUCAAUACAUCCAGUUGUUGUUCACCAGAAAAUCCAAGCACUUCUGGUGUACUCCAGACAUUACAUAUCUCAUCACCAUUUUCUGGACUGGAGCGUUCAUCAGUUGAUAUGGUAUUUCGAUCAGAUUUGGAGAGGCC